This 498-nucleotide ribosomal RNA is filed under the name uncultured bacterium. RNAcentral describes it as "partial 16S ribosomal RNA". It matches the Rfam family "Bacterial small subunit ribosomal RNA", at positions 28 to 507 of the family's 1533-position model. The record is from RNAcentral.
GACGAACGCUGGCGGCGUGCCUAAUACAUGCAAGUCGAGCGGAAGGAUGGGAGCUUGCUCCCAGACCGUCCGCGGCGGACUGGUGAGUAACACAUUGGCAACCUGCCUGUAAGCCUGGGAUAACUCCGUGAAACCGGGGCUCAUGCCGUAUUACUCUUUCCCUCACCUGAGGGAAAGCUGAAAGAUGGCAUCUCGCUAUCGCUUACAGAUGUGCCCGCGGCGCAUUAGCUCGUUGGUGAGGUAACGGCACACCACGGCGACGAGGCGGAGCCGCCCUGAGAGGGUGAUCGGCGACACUGGGACUGAGACACGGCCAAGACUCCUACGGGAGGCAGCAGUAGGGAAUCUGCCGCAAGGGACGAAAGUCUGACGGAGCAACGCCGCGGGAGUGAUGAAGGUGUUCGGAUCGUAAAACUCUGUUGUCAGGGAAGAACAAGUACCGGAGUAACUGCCGGUACCUUGACGGUACCUGAACAGAAAGCCACGGCUAACUACGUG